UGUCUCUAUCUCUCUCUUUCUCUCUCUCUCCCAUCUCUUUACAUGAGGUGCAUGUGUGUGUAUUGUGAAAUGCUUGAUCACCUUUCUUUGUGUUCUGAUGUGCAUCUGAGGUGUUUGGUGGAAUUUGUAAGGGGCUCGAUGUGUGGUAUAUGUCUGAUCUGGUGUAUGAUGUUAUUGAGGUGUGUGAUGAUAUUUAUGAGGUGUGUGUGAUGUGUCUGAUCUUGUGUAUGAUGUAAUUGAGGUGUGUGAUGGUAUUUAUGAGGUGUGUGUGAUGUGUCUGAUCUGGUGUAUGAUGUAAUUGAAGUGUGUGAUGGUAUUUAUGAGGUGUUUGUGAUGUGUCAGAUCUGGUGUAUGAUGUUAUUGAGGUGUGUGAUUGUGUUUAUGAGGUGUUUGUGAUGUGUCUGAUCUGGUGUAUGAUGUUAUUGAGGUGUGUGAUUGUGUUUAUGAGGUGUUUGUGAUGUGUUUGAUCUGGUGUAUUGUGUUAUUAAGGUGUGUGAUGGUAUUUAUGAGGUGUUUGUGAUGUGUUUUAUCUGGUGUAUGAUGUUAUUUAGGUGUGUGAUUGUGUUUAUGAGGUGUUUGUGAUGUGUAUGAUCUGGUGUAUGAUGUCAUUGAGGUGUGUGAUGAUAUUUAUGAGGUGUUUUUGAUGUGUUUGAUUUGGUAUAUUGUGUUAAUAAGGUGUGUGAUGGUAUUUAUGAAGUGUUUGGUAUGUGUAUGAUCUGGUGUAUGAUGUU
This is a long non-coding RNA of Astyanax mexicanus (Mexican tetra), 731 nucleotides long. RefSeq lists it as uncharacterized. Lineage: Eukaryota; Metazoa; Chordata; Actinopteri; Characiformes; Acestrorhamphidae. The record is from RefSeq and is a predicted model, not a curated record. The transcript has 3 exons.